UGCUGUUUUAGGGCAGGCCUCCUGAGGCUAGAGCCAAGAAUGGGAAAUCUAAGGCCUGCUCUGGGGGAGGGAGGGAAGGAGGCCUCAGGCAGGGGGAGCCAGCGAUGGAAACUCAGCCCGCACGACGUGUCCUAGUCUUAGGAAUGAGUGACUCUCAGACCGCUCGCUGCCGUCUUCUGGGCAGACAAGCCUGGAUGCUCCGUUCUUCCUGGGGCAGUGUAUUUCCUCCUGGUACCUUGACUAAGCCGAAGCUGGGAAAUCAGCAGGGAGGGAAGGCUCCGGGACCGCCGGCCUGUGGGGUGGCAAGCAUGGACAAGCGCAGCCCUUCCCUCUCCUUGAGCUGGAGGACGAAAAGAAGUCAGGGUUCUGAAUGCUAAGACUUUGGGCUCUUCAGUUAACACUGUCGCUGCUGUUAUUCAUAGCAAUAUUCAGGCUCAGCCUCAGGAGAAGAUUGCAAACCCAGGAUUUAAAAAAUAAAAAUAAAAUAAGAAACAGAG
This 497-nucleotide long non-coding RNA is filed under the name Saimiri boliviensis boliviensis (Bolivian squirrel monkey). Its description in RNAcentral is "lncRNA (ENSSBOG00000036675.1)". Lineage: Eukaryota; Metazoa; Chordata; Mammalia; Primates; Cebidae. The record is from RNAcentral.